RNAcentral lists this ribosomal RNA (422 nucleotides) under uncultured cyanobacterium. RNAcentral's name for it is "bacterial SSU rRNA". It matches the Rfam family "Bacterial small subunit ribosomal RNA", at positions 358 to 795 of the family's 1533-position model. The record is from RNAcentral. Lineage: Bacteria; Bacillati; Cyanobacteriota.
GGAAUUUUCCGCAAUGGGCGAAAGCCUGACGGAGCAAUACCGCGUGAGGGAGGAAGGUCUUUGGAUUGUAAACCUCUUUUCUCAGGGAAGAAUAAAUGACGGUACCUGAGGAAUAAGCACCGGCUAACUCCGUGCCAGCAGCCGCGGUAAUACGGAGGGUGCAAGCGUUAUCCGGAAUUAUUGGGCGUAAAGAGUCCGUAGGUGGUUCAGCAAGUCUGCUGUCAAAGCCCGCAGCUUAACUGCGGAGAGGCGGUGGAAACUGUUGAACUAGAGUACGGUAGGGGUAGAGGGAAUUCCCAGUGUAGCGGUGAAAUGCGUAGAUAUUGGGAAGAACACCGGUGGCGAAAGCGCUCUACUGGACCGUAACUGACACUGAGGGACGAAAGCCAAGGUAGCGAAAGGGAUUAGAUACCCCUGUAGUC